UAGCUGAUUGCAAUCACUUUUGUUGUUUGACACUUGCUUUACGCAGGCACUUGAACGACCUGCUACAAGUCCGUCAACUAAAUAUCUCCCCACAAACAUGAUAUUUAAAUGUUCCACGAUAUAGUUAUCUACAUUGCGAGUGGAUUUUGGAUAGUAAAUAUUGUUUAGGUUUGCUGAUACAUAUGUUGCAAGAAUUUUGCAACACGUAUAUAUCAUGUGAAUAGUAUGUUUAACUAAAAGCAAGUUAACUACCCUUGAGAAUUUGUUUUGUAAUGAAGGGAGCGGAAGUGCAUGAUACGUGAGUUUUAGCACGCUUACAUGACGAUGCCAGAUAGAGAGGGUUAUUGAACAGUUUUGGAGGGGGUGUGUACAGCCAGUCUAUCAAAAAAUAAUACUAUUAUGGUAAUAAUUCGCCAGAAGACCCUGAACAGUUAAUCUUGUGCGUCGUCCUACAUUCGGAGACCUAACUGAUUCCCACCAUGAAACAACACCAACUGUCCACUGCAAAGCGCCUUACCAAACCUAUUUUGUUUGGAACAUUAAUCGUGGGACUUGCUACUGCUUUCUUCAACAGACACCUAUUCUUUGAGGACAUCGCAGCGAUCCGGGCCCAGGAGCGAGCCCGUAAUGAAGCCAAACUGAUGGAGAUCUUGGAGAGAAGACAUAGGCAGAUGGAGGAGCUAGCUGAGAAGAAAGGAGGCAUGUGAAGGAAUGGCUCUUCACCUACUCGGCACAACAGACAGCAGACUCCCUCCAGUUGAGGUGGCACUACAUUAUCCUUCUUGUGACGUCAAAUCGACUGUUCAGUCGGAAAAAUAUUUAUUGUCAAAAGGUGAUGGAGGGAUGUGAGCCACCUGGUGUGAGGGUUUCGAAAAUACUGUGCAGAUGCAGUUUGUAAACUCUUUACCCAAACUGAAAUGUUUUCAAAUUACUUGCAUUGACUGACAUGUUUGUUAUAAUUCAAGUUCAACAAAGUAAUUCCCCCCAUUUCUGUCCCAAUUAUCAGCCUCAGCUGAAAAAGUGAAGUUUAAUUGUCUUAUAAUGUGUAAAAAUCAGUAUAUUUGAUGCAACCUCCUAUUAUGGUAAGGUUUGGUUCACCUGUAAUAAAACUAAAGAAUUCCU
Osmerus eperlanus (European smelt) is the source of this 1122-nucleotide long non-coding RNA. RefSeq lists it as uncharacterized. Lineage: Eukaryota; Metazoa; Chordata; Actinopteri; Osmeriformes; Osmeridae. The transcript is spliced from 2 exons. The record is from RefSeq and is a predicted model, not a curated record.